This 5505-nucleotide long non-coding RNA is filed under the name Manihot esculenta (cassava). Its description in RNAcentral is "long non-coding RNA (MESC_LNC010701)". Lineage: Eukaryota; Viridiplantae; Streptophyta; Magnoliopsida; Malpighiales; Euphorbiaceae. The record is from RNAcentral.
CCCAGAAGAAGGGCAAGUCAUGUAAUCUACAUCCAAGCAAUAAAGAGGGCAAACUAUGGCCCUUCCAGGACUCAUCCCUAUUGAAAUACUCCCUAAUCAACAGAGGUAAACAGAAAAAAAAAAUCACCAAUAAAUUAGUUAAUUCAACUUUGAGAUUCAACUCUUCUUAAAUUUGUUUAAAUCUUGUUGAAAAAUUCACAGUUUAAUCCCUGAAUUUUAUCACUAACAACAAUUUAAUCUCCAUAUUUUAAAAAAUAAACUAUUUAAUCCUUAAUUUAACCUCGGUCAGGUCCUUCCGUCCCACUACCUACCCCAUUCUUCCACAAAAAUUCUAUGAAAAGUAAGUGUUUUUUGGUUCGUGCACCACUACAAAAGAAAGUUUUUCCCCACUAACUCUUCGACUAUCAUUAAGUCGAAGAACAGCCUAUGCAUACCCUCAACUCUAACUACAACCAAUCAAAUUCACACAUCUGCAGGGUGAAGGAUACAGUUCUUUGUUUGAAGCAAAGCAGCAGAUGCAGAGAGCAUCCAGAUUCUUUUUCUCAAGUAAUAUACUUAUACUCCACUUUCAGGCAAUAUAUAUAUAUAUUUGAUUAUUAAAUAUCCCUCUGGAAAAUAAUUUCUGGGUUUUAUAAGUUUCCAAAUAGGUUAAAAAAUAAAGAUUUAUCUUUACACAGGGCAAGCUGAAGGGAAAGAAUCGAAUAGUUUUGUAAUGAAAGUGGAUAAAAAUAGAAAGAAAAAAAAAAGGAAAGGAUAAGAAAGUAUACCAUAGACAAAGAGAAGAAGCAUGAAAGCAGCUCUGACACGACCCAUUCUUUGCUAAGACUGAGGAUUAUGAAUUGGGAAAGAGUUGAUUUAAGUAGCAAGGAAAAGUGAUGUAUGCCCACUUGCAAUUUAUAUUCUUAAUCUAAUCUAAUAUUUUAGCCUUUGAUUUCAUAAAAAUUUAAUUAAUUAAUUAAUUUAUUUAUUUGAAUUUAAACAAAAAAAAUAUAUAUAUAAUUUUAUUAAAAUUAGGUAAAAAGCAUCUUUUGCCCUAACCUUUUUCUAAAUUGCUAUUUUACCCCUUCAACUUUAAAUUGUUUCAUUUUGCCCCCUAACCUUUUUAAAAAUGUUAUUUAAUAGUCCCUUCGAAGGAUAUAUCUUUACGUGUGAAUUACACUCGCGCCUAUGUAGAUAAAAUUCUUUACGUGUCAGCUCCAGCAAUCCACGUGGGCAAAGAUAGGAAAUGUUGCAAAUAAUGCCAACCCCAAAUUAAAAAUAGAAAUCUGAUGAAUCCCUAAUCUCUAAUUUUAUACUCUCAUUCUAUUAAAAACAGAAACUAUAAAACGAUUCUAAGAAUUUCUCCAAUAAAUUUAUUAGUGCACGAAAGAGUGAAGUUGCAAGAAUGUUCUAUGAUUGAAGUUUCAUCAACAUUGUUAAAUAUUGAGUAAUAUUGUUAGUGUUUAGUUACAUUUCUUAAGUAGGUGAUGUUUAUGUUAUUUGUUGGUAAUGUAAGGGCAUUCAUUGUGAUGUCUUUGUCCUCUCUUCCUUUUUAUUAUUCUCUAAUCUUUUUCAAUAACUUAUAUAUGCAGUCAUUGUGAUCCAACAUAGUUUGAUUAAUUUAUUCUUUGUUUUUUUUUGUUUGAUUUGGUGUGCACAGUAUGUCAACGUUUAUCAUUUGUCUAAGAUGGCAUUAUGGUGGUAAAUUUGUAAAUGGCUCAUACCCUAGUUAUAGAGAUGGACGGGUCUCGAUGGUCUCUCGGGUUGACCCUGAUAAAUUAUCAAUGUUAGGGAUAUUCUCAUUUAUGAAAGACUUAUGGUAUAUAGCUGUUGAAAGUGUGUAUUUUAGAAAGAGGGGCAAUGAGAAGGAAGAUUGUAGGAAAGUUUGGUCAGAUCAAGUAUUGAUAGAGAUUACUCAAGGUCUUAAGUAAGGAGAUCCAAUAGACCUUUAUGUCUCUCAUAGUGUUGAUGUUCAUGUCAUUGCUAAGUAUAAUGUGCCUAUUGAUUUUACUGAGAAUAGUGGGCAUUUUGGUUCUUGUGAUGAACCAAAUAAUAGUGAAGGAGAGGACUUAGAAGCUACUGCUGAUGUUCAAGCUAAUGAUAUUAGUGUAGAGGAUAUUGGUGUUUGAUGAUAUUAGUGUAGAGCAUAUUGGAGUUGAUGAUAAAGACAAAGAAGACAGUGAAAGUGGAGAAUCAACGAGGAUGUUAAUGAUGUUAUGCAUUAGAAGGAAGUGAUGUGGAUAUUGAGCUGCAGGUUGCAAGAGAUAAUCUUAAAAAGUAUAAACAAAGUAAAUCUCAGGGAAGGAAAGAUGAGGAUGCACCUAUUGUUCAACUAGGACUAACUGAAGAUGAUGCUGCUUUUAAUGAAAAUGAUAAGCAAGAUGGUAGAUUUGGUCAGAGAACAGGUGGAACUGAAGAGCAUCUAAAUAGUGAUGAUCCAGAUAGUAGGUUAGUUAAUUCUGAUGAUUAUGAAGGUGAGGAAAAAGAAAUUCAAAGUAAAAAGAGGAAUAAUAAUGUUUACUAUAAUGAAGGUUGUGCAAUUCCUCAAUGGGAGUUUGGUUUGAUUUUUGAUAAUACAAACCAAUUUAGGCAUGCUGUUAGGAAGUAUGGCGUGGCUAAGGGUGUACAAUUAAAUUUGGUUAAAAAUGACAAAGACAGAGUAAGGGUUAGAUGCAAGGAAGGAUGUCCAUGGAUCUUUAUGCCGGCUUUGAGAAAAAAAAUGGAAAUUUUGUGGUGAAGACUUAUAAUUCUUGCCAUAAGUGUUAUAGGUCAAACAAGAAUAAGCUUGUCAAUUUUGAUUACAUUGCAAGGGUAUUUAAAAAGAGUAUAGCAUCUCAACCUGAGAUUAAGCUUAUAGAGAUUCAAAAGUUAUAUAGAGAAGAGCUGAAAGUUCAUGUAUGUAGAACUGUUUGCAGAAGGGCAAAUAUGAAGGUUUUAUUUAAGGUUUUAGGUGAUUAUAAGAUUGAAUAUGGUAAACUGCAUGAUUAUAUUAAUGAAAUAAAGAGGACCAACCCAAGUUCGACCUGCAUUGUUAAUAGUAAGCAGUCUGGUGAUGAAAAAUUGAUUUUCACUGGGUUUUUUUUUUCUGUUUCAAAGCACUUAGAGAUAGAAUGCUUGAAGGAUGCAGAAGAAUUAUAGGAUUAGAUGAUGCAUUCCUUAAAGGUGUAUGCAAGGGUUAGUUGUUGAUUGCAGUACCGAAGGAUGCUAAUAACCAAGUGUAUCCAGGGGCAAUAGUUGGUAUUGAAGAUAAAACUACUUGGAAAUUGUUCAUCAAGCAUUUAAUUAAAGACCUUCAUAUUGGGUUAGGAGAUAGAUGGACCUUUGUAACUGACAUGCAAAAGGUACCAAUCUGUAUUUCAGCUUCAUACAACUUAACUUUUGAUAGCAAUCCAACAAUAACUUAUUUUGCAUGGUUAGGCAUAGGAGGGUCCAACCACAUGAAAAAUCAACAUUCUCUUCCAUUCUCUUCCAUUCUGUAAAUAUAUUUCAAAUUAAAAUCUCAUUUAAUAAUAUUAUUUUUCAAAAGAAAAAUAAUAAAUAUUAAGAAGAUUUCACAUAUUCAAUAUAUUUCACUCAUCCAAUAUUUUCUAUAUCUAAAAAACCUUAUUUUUGGAUUAAGAUUCGUCCAUGAAUGCUUGAGAGCAGAUGUUUCUCCACAAUGAUAAGCUGGAAUCACAACUUCUGUCGCACUAUCUCCCAUUCUUUUAAUUAUUGUGAACAGAAAAAUUUAGAAUUUUCUUCAAAUAUUGAAAUCACAAAAUCAAUUGGAGACACGUGAAUAUGUCAAAGAACCAUUGUUCGUCAUAAAUUUCAAAUUCUAAAUAUCCGUAAGAAAUGAGAAAGAGAGUUAAGAAUUUUGUGUUGACCAAUAAGAGAAAGAAUUAGAAAUAAGAGAUUUUGCAAAAAUAAUUGUUAUAUAUAUAUUUUUUAGUCCAUAUCAUUUAAAUAUUUUUACACUCGGUUUAAAUAGUAUUUAUAUACGCGAUCUGCUAACUGUAUAUUUAAGAACUAUUAAAUAUCAUUUUUAAAGAGAUUAUGAAGUAGAAGGGAAUAAUUUAAAAUUAGAGGAAUAAUAUGGCAAUUUAAAAAAAUUAAGGGGCAAAAGAUUUUUUUUUUUUGGUCUUAAAAUUAAUUUAAAUUAUUUUCUUACUAAAUGAAUAACGUAAAAUAGAAGAAUUCAAUUGCGUCAAUGCUAACUAUCAUCGGUCCAUUUUGUGAAGUCAACUGCAGUAGGCAGUGAUUGUUGACUUCAAUAUACGUGGAAGUUAAAAGACCAGAAGAUCAAUUUUGUUAAAACAGGGAGAUUAAGUAAUAAUUUAUUUUUUUUCUAAACUUAAAUUUUGAAUGUCUCUGUCCUUAUUGGCCAAUUGAACUGAAAAAAUUCAAAAAAAUUGAUUCUAUACCAAUUAUUCAAACUUUUCCUUUUUUAAAUAUUUAAUUGAUCAAAUAUAUAUAUCUCUACAUUCUGAUACAAUCUGAAAUUAAUUUAUUACACAUUUAAAUUAUAAUUAUAAUUUAUUAAACACUUAAAUUUAUUAAAAAAAAUAAUAAUUAAAUACAAAUUGAUAAUAUCAUUAUAAUUUAUCAAAAAAUUUUACAAAAUAGUUCCUUUACUAUAUUUACACUCUAAAUUUUAUUUAUUAUACUCUAAAUGUUUAUAAAAUAAUAGAAUUAUUUUUAUUUAACUUUAUUAAUUUAUAAAAAUUUAAAUUAUAAGUGCGAUUAAUUUUUACACCAUGAAUAGUUUAUUUUUAAUUUUUAUAAAUUCAAGCAUUUAAUAGUAGAAUUUUAUAUUUGAACAUAUUUAAUUAAUCAAUUGACAACAUCAUAUUUAAACUAUGUAUUGAUGAAAUAUUUAACAGAAUAUAUAUUUGAGUAAAAUCAAAUUCUUCUCCAAAUUAAAUUUCCAUUUCAACUAAAAUUUCUUUAAAAUUAAUAAUUAAUCUAAAAUUACAAAAUCAAGCAGUCUAAUAGAAAAGUCCAAAAUGUUGGCCCCCAUCCCAUAAAAGGCAAGAGGUCCAAUAAGAUGACACAGUUAACUGCUUCAACCAUUCGAAGAAUUAUUUUGGUUAACUAUUCAACCACACCAAGACGAAGGCUUAAACAAAAGUAUGCACCAACAUUAACUUUCAACAUGUUUUCUUUUGGAAUUUGGGAGCAUAACUGUUGAGAGUCUUUAAGACAAUGUAUGUAUAGUUUCUGUAAACCACGUAUAUACAGGAAACCCCCCCGAAAUUACUUGUAUAACUACAUCCAAUAAUAGCCAGAGGCCACAGUUCAAUAUCAAAUUUUGCAAGGUUACAAGCUUUGGGAGAUUGAGAAAUACCCCAACUCUCAAUUUAAAUCUCAGCCACGCACGCGUGGAAUGCUGUUUUAUCUGUCGCUUGAAUUGCAGUUCUGGAAAAUGUUUACUGGCAAUAUGAACAGUGAAAGAUGGAAGAGAUUGUCACAAGAUCAUGUGAGUUAGCACCUGGCCUUCUUGCCACUGUUAAGUACUCUCUGCAAAUGGAAAGCUUCGCCUUGAUC